RNAcentral lists this non-coding RNA (21 nucleotides) under Caenorhabditis elegans. The record is from RNAcentral. Lineage: Eukaryota; Metazoa; Nematoda; Chromadorea; Rhabditida; Rhabditidae.
UGGAAUUUGGCUGAAUGGAAU